Molecule: ribosomal RNA, 253 nt
Filed under: uncultured bacterium
Lineage: Bacteria
Description: partial 16S ribosomal RNA
Rfam family: Bacterial small subunit ribosomal RNA
Source: RNAcentral
UACGGAGGGGGCUAGCGUUGUUCGGAAUCACUGGGCGUAAAGCGCACGUAGGCGGCUUUGCAAGUCAGAGGUGAAAGCCCGGGGCUCAACCCCGGAAUAGCCUUUGAGACUGCAUGGCUUGAACACGGGAGAGGUGAGUGGAAUUCCGAGUGUAGAGGUGAAAUUCGUAGAUAUUCGGAAGAACACCAGUGGCAAAGGCGGCUCACUGGACCGUUGUUGACGCUGAGGUGCGAAAGCGUGGGGAGCAAACAGG